This 211-nucleotide ribosomal RNA is filed under the name uncultured bacterium. RNAcentral describes it as "partial 16S ribosomal RNA". It matches the Rfam family "Bacterial small subunit ribosomal RNA", at positions 1289 to 1500 of the family's 1533-position model. The record is from RNAcentral.
CAGUUCGGAUCGCAGGCUGCAACCCGCCUGCGUGAAGUUGGAAUCGCUAGUAAUCGCGGAUCAGCAUGCCGCGGUGAAUACGUUCCCGGGCCUUGUACACACCGCCCGUCACACCAUGAGAGUCGGGAACACCCGAAGUCCGUAGCCUAACCGCAAGGGGGGCGCGGCCGAAGGUGGUUCGAUAAUUGGGGUGAAGUCGUAACAAGGUAGC